Molecule: long non-coding RNA, 1629 nt
Filed under: Carica papaya (papaya)
Lineage: Eukaryota; Viridiplantae; Streptophyta; Magnoliopsida; Brassicales; Caricaceae
Description: long non-coding RNA (CPAP_LNC005262)
Source: RNAcentral
CCUCUUGAAGCUUUCUUUGAUCCAUUCGCAAAUGUGUAGUGGAUAUUUGAGUGUAUUUGGAUGAUUGUACUCUGCUGAACAAUUAUUUUGUAAUGAAAGAAGUUGUUUGAACAGUGUUUGUGUAUAUAUUUUGUUAGCGAUCUUCUUGGCUUCAAAUAUACUUGAACAUCAAAUAUUUUUUAAGGCAAGAUUUUCUUCCACUAUAUAGAAUACUUUUGCACUCAUAUAUGUUCUAUUUUCGGACACCUUUACCCCACCGGUUAUUGGGAUGCCGCAGAUGACACAACAAAAUAGUGAGAAACAUAUUCGAUUCAAUAAACAAUCUAAACGUGGAUAACCCAAUCAAAGGUCCUAUCAAGAUAGUGAAAUAAUUUGAUUGAAUUACAAAUUUUAUAGAUCAUCAAACAAAGCAAUUUUAACUUAUAUUAAUAGAGGCCAUAGGGGAUCCCCAACUACUACUGUGAAUGGGAAAUAGUUUAGUUUGACAUAUAGUUGAAAUCUAAUGCUUGUGAUCGUAUUUGCCACUGUAGCCCUUAUAAUAAGUCGCGAUUCCACUUUCAUUAGAGGGAACACCAGCACCAUUCAUAGGGAGUGGUUCACCAACAGUCAGUAGCAAUCAUAUUCGAUCACCCCUCAGUGAUAACAGUCAAAUGGAUUUAAGUCUUUUCACUUUCCUUGUCAGUUAGAAAUCAUAGUAAAUUUGACAGUCUAGACUCGACGGGGUCCAUUAACCAAAUUUGGCCCCACAAGGGCCCAGAUAUCUAGAUUGGGCCAUCAUGUUACCUUCCGGGCCAAAGCCCAAUUGAGUAACCCUCUCAACCAUUGUUUUAAAGACGAAGUCAAUGUGCACAAUCCGCACAUGCGGCGUACUAUUCAAAAUAAUUUCUUCCAUUUCCAUGACUCGACUUGAAUGUGCAAAAAUCGUAUCCAAACAUGGUUCAAAGAUAAAUCUUUCCAACAUCAUAAGAAAUACAAUCUUUAAAACAAUAAUCAUUGCAUGCGUGAAAUUAAACCAAACAAUCAUAGAUUUCAUUAUCUUUAAACAUUUCAAAGUCUAGAAAACAUAAUAGGAGUGGAGAUGAAAAUACCAAUAACCUUUAUUUAACUUUCAAGCUUUCAGUUUCAAAAAAUUAGGUUGUUUACGAUUUGAAGGAGAAGGAAAGUUACUGGGCAACUCGUAGAUUUUAGGAUGUAUUUCUGGAAAUUUAAAGAAAGGAAGAGCCUAAGAAUGAGGGCUUAGAAAUCUUAGUGAAGAAAGGGAAUCAAGAAAAGAGAAAAAAAAGCUUACAGUGCUAAGGGGUAAAGCUUUUUAGUCUCGUCAGUUAUGUCUCUGUCUCUCUCAAGCUCUUUCUCUCUCUAAUUUCUCUCUCUUAUUUUUCUCUCUAGCUUCUCUCUGUAACUUCUCUCUCUCUCUCAACCAAAUGAAGAAGAAGAAAAAUGGAGAAAAUAAAAGGAGAAGAAAAGAAGGGCUUUAAAUAACCAAAGGAAAAGCACGCAUCUGUGCCAUGUGACAGCUAAUCAGCGGGCAACAGAUGACAAUGUGACAUAGGCAAUAGUGAUAUGACACGACGUAUGCAACUGGUGGCGCGACAAUGAUGACAUGACAGCGGCAAGCAUGCAAGCCUGAGG